This 2971-nucleotide long non-coding RNA is filed under the name Sus scrofa (pig). RNAcentral describes it as "lncRNA (ENSSSCG00005002773.1)". The record is from RNAcentral. Lineage: Eukaryota; Metazoa; Chordata; Mammalia; Artiodactyla; Suidae.
UUCCCAGGCUAGGGGUCGAAUCGGAGCUGUAGCCACUAGCCUAAGCCACAGCCACAGGAAUGCUGGAUCCUUAGGCCAUUGAGUGAGGCCAGGGAUCGAACUUGCGUCCUUAUAGAUACCAGCCAGAUUUAUUUCCUCUGAGCCAUUAUGGGAACUCCUGCUUAUCCAUUCUAAGUGUAACAGUUCAUUUGUCGACAGUUUCUAUGUUGGUAUGAUCCACAGCAGAAUGAGAGUAAGUUGAGAGAAAUUUUGUGAUUUAAGACAAGGCAUGCAGAGUUGGGCUUGGCUUUAAAAAAAAAAAAAAAAAAAGUCAAGUAGUUCCAGACCAAAAAUGUCAUCCAUUCAUACCUUUUGUUUCCUAUCGGCCAAUUCAAAUUUGGUAACAACUUAGAAUAAAACACAACCUUUGGGUAAGUGACCUCAGGUGGACUAAGGUUUUUGUAGAGCAAUGAAAACUCCAUAAAUGACUGCUUGGAAUAAAGGCCAAUUUGGUGGUUGGGAAUCACUGCCAUCUGCUCAUGCCUGCUGCCUUUGCAGCAUCUGGGGAACGUCCGUGGUGGAGCAAGAUCCAUUACAAGCCUCAAUGGAGUGACUCACCUCCUCUCCUGGGUAGAAAUAAAGGAUGGAGAAGGGAUACCUCCUUUUCUAAAUACAUGAAAAUAUUGAAGAAAAUGAGAAUAGGAAUCUUUCUUGACGUCAUUGAUAGCACCUAAAAACCAGGAAGGCUAACAAAAGGCUGGGAGGGGGUGGGAGAAUUUCUGUAAGGAUGGUUCCUUGCUGGGAAUGAGGAGGAGUCGCAGUUCUAAUCUUGGUUUCGGCCCACGGAUUGCUUGAGGAUAAGACACUGAAACCCUCCAGAGUUUUAAUUGCUCCAACUGUGAGUAGAGAAAGCUUAAUUAGGUGAGUACAAAUAGAGCAAAUACGUAACUCCUAUGAGAAAGUUCUGGAUGGUAAACGCCCACCAGGUAGACCGGUUUUCUCUCGGAGGACAAAGUUUAUCAAGCACCUACUUUGAGUCACAUUUGGGCCACAUCCCUUGCUUUACACAAACUGUGCAGGCCCCUGGAAUGAAGGCUGGAUCUUAGACAUACUUGAUUUUUCUCAGCACAGUGGUUGGCUUGGCCAUGCUGUUUGUUGAACUGAAUUGAUUUUGCAUAAAUUCUCAUACAAAUUAAGGGAAAACAAAUUUCUCUGUUGGUGGUGGAAGGGGAUGACGGUAGUAAUCACGCAAAGAAGGUCAAGAUUAGAUCCUUAUGAAAAGGGAGGGUUUUUUUCUCCCCUCAUAAUAUGACUGAAUUUUCCUUCAUUUUAUUUUUACUUUUAAAGAAAACUCACUGAAGUGCAUUUGAUUUACAAUGGUGGUUCAUUUCUUCUGUACAGUGAAGUGAUUCAUUUUUAUAUAUAUUCAUUCUUUUUUGUAUUCUAUUCCAUUACUGUUAAUCUCAGGAUAUUGAAUAUAUUGCCCCGCGCUGUACGAUAGGACCCUGUUUAUCCAUCCUAUAUAUAAUAGUUUGCAUCUGCUAACCCCAAACUCCCAGUCCAUCCCUCCCCUACCUACCCCCUUGGCAACUAUAAGUCUAUUUGCUCCAUGCAUGAGUCUGUUUUGUUGAUAAGCUCUUUUAUGUGGUAUUUUAAAUUCCACAUCUAAGUGAUAUCAUAUGGUUUUGUCUUUCUCUUUCUGACCGACUUUGCCAAGGAUGAUAAUCUCUAGGUCUAUCCGUGUUGCUGCAAAUGGCAUUAUUUCUGAAUUUUCCUUCAUUUUAGGAUUGCUUAUAGUGGGGUGUGAUAGCUGGCUGAAUCACCUGGCAAGGAAGUGACAUAAAAUUUCAACGCUACAGCAUGGCAAUCUAAGACAGUUUCCUAAUGAGCUGAAUGAUGGCAACUCUGUGAAAUAUUUAGCAGGAAUUGUGACAAAUCCCAAUUCUUUUUACUGUAUCCUAGCACUUUCCUGGUCUCUUUGGCAGCCCAGCUGCAGGAGAGGUUAAUUAACAAACGCUUCAGGUGAUUCUGAUACCUGCUAACGUUUGGGAAGCCCUGUUCUUUGAUAUUUAACACUCUGAUGAGCCACUAUGGGUUAUUCUUAGGUCCACUUUGAUUUUGAAAAUAAAAGAUUCCAUUAUAUAUUAACUUGGAUAUCUAAACUUCAACACACCAAAAUCAAAUUUCUUAUAUUCCUAGUAGCUAGUGCUUAACCUAAUGUGGGCCAUCAUUCAGGUGGGGCAAUUUCAGUCCACAUCAGUCAUUGUGGCCAGAGGACCUGCUUGGUAUAAAGCAGGGUGCUGGGUGCCAAGGGGUUUGGGGUGGGGGGUGGAACACGAAUGAGUAAGACUAGUUCAUUCCUUCCAGGGUCUCAGAAUAAAGUAGGGUAUUUAAAAACAUAAACACUUAGCAUAAAUACACAGCAUCUCAUAAGGGCCCUGGAGGAAUGCGAAGCCAGGGAGGGGACAGGGGUUGAGCUCAAAUAGAAACGCGUGGUGCUGUGGGAGGUGGGUGAGCCUGGCCAAGGCAAGUCCUUUUUCUGCGCCCCAGUUUCCUUGCUUCUAGAAUAAUCUGAGAUGAGGCUGGAACUGGGAUUUGGAAAUGCCCUUUGCUUUCUUGGAGGAGUUGGAGGAAGACAAAUUGGAGCAACUCUGUGUCUCUUCUGCUCAAACCAGAACAGCAACUUGUGUGUGUUUAUCAGCCCCCCUGUGUAAGUUUUUGUUUGGCGAGAGGAAAGAUUUCACAGCUGAAGACAAAAAUAACCCUGGGACUAGAUGAUGUCAGGUUUGCUUUAGCUUUGUGGUUCUGUGGCCUUUUCUUCUUCAUAAUGUUCCAGGAGGAUGCAUUAGUAGGAAGAGAUACCUUGAAUUAUUGCGGGCGUGGGGUGGGGUGGAAUUGUUAUGGACCUACAAGGUCUAAUAAUGUGCCUAUCAAACACAGCUUCUAUUUAUUACUCAAAGUGGGAUAUAAAAAUAGUGAAUUUCUGGAGUUC